UGGGGAGUGGCAUAGCAGUAGAGCACAUGCCUUCUAUUCAUGAGGCCUUGGGUUCAAUCCCUCACACCACAU
This 72-nucleotide transfer RNA is filed under the name Erinaceus europaeus (western European hedgehog). It matches the Rfam family "tRNA". From Rfam's summary of the family: Transfer RNA (tRNA) molecules are approximately 80 nucleotides in length. Their secondary structure includes four short double-helical elements and three loops (D, anti-codon, and T loops). Further hydrogen bonds mediate the characteristic L-shaped molecular structure. tRNAs have two regions of fundamental functional importance: the anti-codon, which is responsible for specific mRNA codon recognition, and the 3' end, to which the tRNAs corresponding amino acid is attached (by aminoacyl-tRNA synthetases). tRNAs cope with the degeneracy of the genetic code in two manners: having more than one tRNA (with a specific anti-codon) for a particular amino acid; and 'wobble' base-pairing, i.e. permitting non-standard base-pairing at the 3rd anti-codon position. Lineage: Eukaryota; Metazoa; Chordata; Mammalia; Eulipotyphla; Erinaceidae. The record is from Rfam by way of RNAcentral.